UACGAAGGGGGCUAGCGUUGCUCGGAAUCACUGGGCGUAAAGCGCACGUAGGCGGGUCCUUAAGUCAGGGGUGAAAUCCUGGAGCUCAACUCCAGAACUGCCUUUGAUACUGAGGAUCUCGAGUCCGGGAGAGGUGAGUGGAACUCCGAGUGUAGAGGUGAAAUUCGUAGAUAUUCGGAAGAACACCAGUGGCGAAGGCGGCUCACUGGCCCGGUACUGACGCUGAGGUGCGAAAGCGUGGGGAGCAAACAGG
Molecule: ribosomal RNA, 253 nt
Filed under: uncultured bacterium
Lineage: Bacteria
Description: partial 16S ribosomal RNA
Rfam family: Bacterial small subunit ribosomal RNA
Source: RNAcentral